UACGGAGGGGGGCUAGCGUUGUUCGGAAUUACUGGGCGUAAAGCGCACGUAGGCGGAUAUUUAAGUCAGGGGUGAAAUCCCAGAGCUCAACUCUGGAACUGCCUUUUUUGAUACUGGGUAUCUUGAGUAUGGAAGAGGUAAGUGGAAUUGCGAGUGUAGAGGUGAAAUUCGUAGAUAUUCGCAGGAACACCAGUGGCGAAGGCGGCUUCCUGGACCGGUUCUGAC
RNAcentral lists this ribosomal RNA (225 nucleotides) under uncultured bacterium. RNAcentral's name for it is "partial 16S ribosomal RNA". It matches the Rfam family "Bacterial small subunit ribosomal RNA", at positions 524 to 744 of the family's 1533-position model. The record is from RNAcentral.